RNAcentral lists this ribosomal RNA (252 nucleotides) under uncultured bacterium. RNAcentral describes it as "partial 16S ribosomal RNA". It matches the Rfam family "Bacterial small subunit ribosomal RNA", at positions 524 to 776 of the family's 1533-position model. The record is from RNAcentral.
UACAGAGGGUGCAAGCGUUAAUCGGAAUUACUGGGCGUAAAGCGUGCGUAGACGGUUACAUAAGUCGGGUGUGAAAGCCCCGGGCUCACCUGGGAAUUGCAUUCGAGACUGCGUAGCUAGGGUGCGGAAGAGGGAAGCGGAAUUUCCGGUGUAGCGGUGAAAUGCGUAGAUAUCGGGAAGGAACACCAGUGGCGAAAGCGGCUUCCUGGUCCAGCACCGACGUCAGGCACGAAAGCGUGGGGAGCAAACAGG